RNAcentral lists this long non-coding RNA (1153 nucleotides) under Homo sapiens (human). RNAcentral's name for it is "non-protein coding lnc-RAB11FIP5-3:3". The record is from RNAcentral. Lineage: Eukaryota; Metazoa; Chordata; Mammalia; Primates; Hominidae.
CUGCCCCGGGGCCCCGGCUCUGCAAGCAAACAGGCCGAGCGCGGCGCUGCAUCCGAAAUGCGGCAUUUGAGCAGCGCGGCGAAGGCGAGCGGGGGAGCGGCCCACCCGGGUAAUUGCCCUUCUCGGCUCCUAAUCCCCCCGCCGGGCCCCUUCCGCCGGCUGCAGCCCAUUGAUUAGCUCAGGAGCCGCCGGCUCAACCCAGCUCCCGAGGGGCCAUCACAAUCCCCACCCUGGGCCCGGGAGGCUGUCAGGACCCCCGCGGGGUCCUUCCGGACUCAGAGCGGGAGCGUGCUCCUGGAAAGGGCAGUGAGAUCGCCAGGGAAAAGAUGGGGUGGGGGAGAAAGGGGACGUCCAAAAACUUGCAAUGGAGCCCAGGCCAUGCACGCCCCAGGCCGAGAAAGGCGGGACCUCAGACCCUGCUGUCCCGGUGAAGGAGACAGUGCAGAGGGCCCUUGAGCGCGACUGGGCUUGACACCCCUGAGAGCUCACUGUGGAGCCCGGGUUAGGAGAUCCCCAACCACCCAAACACAAAUCACCCUCAAGACCCCGUACUUAUGCGGUGGCCUGAGCCUGCUUCCUGUGGUCUGCCCAGAGAAACCUGGGCCUCACAGGAGAGGAAUGCCAAGUGCUUCAAGCUGGGAAAUUGACAUGGUCCAUUCUACAAAAUAGAGCUCAGUGCAGAUGAGGAGAGAAAUAGGGUUCUAUGGAGCCUUUCGGGGCAAACCCACUGAUGACUGGGUGAUAGCUUCACAGGGACAAGACCCAGUUGCCAUCUGGGGUGAGUUUUGUUUCUUCCCUCCCACCUUUCAGCUUCCUAUCUGAGCCUGAACUUACACCCCUUCCCCCUCCCAGAAUAGCCACCCCAGGCCAGGAAAACUGAGCAUUUGCCUACUGAGUCGACCUCCCUGAGUCUAGGCCCACAGUUCAAAGCCUGACUUCUCUGUGCAGGGGCAAGGCUUGCUGCGGGGCCCUCUGGGAUCUGGUGAGCAGGGGCCUUCUCUGACACCCUGAAACCUGGGAACAAACACUGGGGUUGGGGGCAGAGGCUGGGCCAAUGUAGAACACAACAGCAGAGACACAGGAGAGAAAUCAGGCUUCUGGCUAAGAGGAAACCAUAGCAAACUAGACCCUCAUGCCUCAGUGACCUCCCCUU